AUGUAGAUGCGUGGUGAAUCCCCCUGUGCGGUGGGGCGACCAGCCAGGUUUUCUCUUUGAGCACACACGCAGGUCUGUUGGCUGGGGCAGACUUACCGGGAGGCACCCGGCACCACAACAUACUGCAUAACCCCAUAAAGGCCUUCCAUUACGGUAGGCCUUUUAU
This 166-nucleotide small RNA is filed under the name Klebsiella variicola. RNAcentral's name for it is "Gammaproteobacterial sRNA STnc100". It matches the Rfam family "Gammaproteobacterial sRNA STnc100", at positions 22 to 206 of the family's 206-position model. Lineage: Bacteria; Pseudomonadati; Pseudomonadota; Gammaproteobacteria; Enterobacterales; Enterobacteriaceae. The record is from RNAcentral.